GAUGAACGCUGGCGGCGUGCCUAAUACAUGCAAGUCGAGCGCAUGGAUGAGAGCUUGCUCUCAGAAGUUAGCGGCGGACGGGUGAGUAACACGUGGGUAACCUGCCCUUAAGACUGGGAUAACAUCGAGAAAUCGGUGCUAAUACCGGAUAAUUUAUUUGACCGCAUGGUCGAAUAAUGAAAGGUGGCGUAAGCUACCACUUAUGGAUGGACCCGCGGCGUAUUAGCUAGUUGGUGAGGUAAUGGCUCACCAAGGCAACGAUACGUAGCCGACCUGAGAGGGUGAUCGGCCACACUGGGACUGAGACACGGCCCAGACUCCUACGGGAGGCAGCAGUAGGUAAUCUUCCGCAAUGGACGAAAGCCUGACGGAGCAACGCCGCGUGAGUGAUGAAGGCUUUCGGGUCGUAAAACUCUGUUGUUAGGGAAGAACAAGUACCGUUCGAAUAGGGCGGUACCUUGACGGUACCUAACCAGAAAGCCACGGCUAACUACGUGCCAGCCGCCGCAGUAA
Molecule: ribosomal RNA, 513 nt
Filed under: uncultured bacterium
Lineage: Bacteria
Description: partial 16S ribosomal RNA
Rfam family: Bacterial small subunit ribosomal RNA
Source: RNAcentral